Trichobilharzia regenti is the source of this 46-nucleotide non-coding RNA. Lineage: Eukaryota; Metazoa; Platyhelminthes; Trematoda; Strigeidida; Schistosomatidae. The record is from Rfam.
GCACUGCUGAAGAGUCCCAAACUAGGACGAAAUAGAUGUUCAGUAC